This is a long non-coding RNA of Eufriesea mexicana, 1045 nucleotides long. RefSeq lists it as uncharacterized. The transcript has 7 exons. The record is from RefSeq and is a predicted model, not a curated record. Lineage: Eukaryota; Metazoa; Arthropoda; Insecta; Hymenoptera; Apidae.
AUAUUUUUCAGUCACAAGAUCAAUCUCAUUUCCUCAAAUCCAAGAAUUAUAUAAUACUGGACUUUCCUAAGAAAUAAGCGCAUCAACCGAUUCUGGCUCUGCUGCAGAAUAUUGAAUCAAGCACAAUACUAGCCAUUGGAAGUUUCUUAUGUUCGCCUGACUUCUAUAGUUCAACGAACGAAACUGUAGGCUGCGUUUAAAAAUAUCUAUCUGCUUGAAAUUUGUCCUUGACCGAGAAGCAUUCCCUACCUCUCUGCCCCCCUGCAUCCUCUCGACCACCGCUGUCCUUUGUUCGGAACAAUUUUGCCAACUCACAGUGCUGGGUAGCAUUGUGCCACUGGAAAUCAUGACAUCUAAUUCGUCAACUCUGUAAGUUUUACGAAGUUCAGGUCUUCGACUUGUUGCGGUUUUUGAAAGUGGAGAGGGCAGCUAAGUUUUUGGGCCAAUCCAAACUGUUAUAGUUAGUCGUCGCCAAGAAUUGUGAAUUUUUUAAUCUACUAUUGAUGCAUCGUUACAACGUAUCACGUAAUAUCACAGUAAUCAUUGAUGGUGGGAAUAAGUUUGACGGCUACAAUAUCAUACGAUACAGAUGCCAGUAUGACAAUUGUAGAAUAUAACUGCUGUUCAUCGAAAACUGAUAGGUGAUUAGCCAACCAUGAGAACCUCUACGAAGUUCAAAUUUCCGUGCUAUCGCGGGCUUUGGAAAUGGCGGGAAGAGCUAGGUCUCUCGACCAAUCCGCUGACGGCUAGGCGACGCCAUGAUAGGGUGGGGUCAUUCUCCUUUUGUACGUCGCGGCAACUGGACGUGAGAUGGAAUUCAGAUUAUUAGUUGAUUCCAAGAAUCACUUAGAACGUAUUGAACGCACCAACGGUCGUAUUAGAGGACGAGCAGCAGUCACUGUGAUGAUUAAUCUCUGAUGACUGGAAUGGCCUGAUAGCGUAAAAUGUUCAAAGAAUGAACGGCAUAUUGACAAAUGGCCGACUUUACAGCUUUUCAUUGAAAGCUGGUAAUGCCUAAUGUAUUAUCAUACAAUAAACGUAAAAG